UACGUAGGGUGCAAGCGUUGUCCGGAAUUAUUGGGCGUAAAGAGCUCGUAGGCGGUUUGUCGCGUCUGCUGUGAAAACUCGGGGCUUAACCCCGGGCCUGCAGUGGGUACGGGCAGACUAGAGUGCGGUAGGGGAGACUGGAAUUCCUGGUGUAGCGGUGAAAUGCGCAGAUAUCAGGAAGAACACCGAUGGCGAAGGCAGUUCUCUGGGCCACUACUGACGCUGAGAAGCGAAAGCAUGGGGAGCGAACAGG
RNAcentral lists this ribosomal RNA (253 nucleotides) under uncultured bacterium. RNAcentral describes it as "partial 16S ribosomal RNA". It matches the Rfam family "Bacterial small subunit ribosomal RNA", at positions 524 to 776 of the family's 1533-position model. The record is from RNAcentral.